ACUUCAUUCACAUGGUCUGGAACUCUAUGCCUUUUUCUCUCAAGUCUCUCAGCUCAGACUGGGCAUCUGUCAAGUCUCUAGCGAAACCGCGGCCAGCGACUACAGAGCACCCGCGACCGAUUAUCUGCGCGGCCGUACCGGAACCCUAAUCUGCGCGGAGGUGCAUUUCAAGAAAACCCUAAUUUCAGCAGCGGCGGUGCAUUUGAAGAAAACCCUGAUAGCCCAUCUAACAAUCGUCUGAGAAGAACCCAUUGAAGGAAGACAAUCGUUUGAGAAGAACCCAUUGAAGGAAGUAGAGGUACGAAUAGAUCUAGAGGAAGGUCCAACAGAUCCUAGAUCAAAAAUUUGGGGGAUUAAUUUGAAGAAUAAGAAGAAAUUGGGGCCCAUUUUUUGGAGGGCUUGAAGUCGUAAGCAAACAAGAAAAACAGAAAGCUUUCGUCUCCGACCCAACAACAUCAGAGCUUUCAACUCCAGAGGCCGAUUAUCAACUCAACACAGUUUUGAUGCUCUAAUUGGUGAAGUGCUGGAAAAGGAGAGCAAAGGGAGAAUCUAUCCAGAUUGCCGUGUUCUUCAUCAAGGGCUUUGAACUGCCAACUCGGAAUCUGCUUUUGAUUGUAUUUGCUAUCAAGAUUGAGGUGCUGAAAUACUUGCAACCUUGUCCAAAGUCAAAUCCAAAGUUCAAAGUUCACAGCUCAAUCAAAAUAUACAAUACGCAAAAAAAAUAAGAAAGGCAGAAAAAUAGUUACAUGGAAAAAUUGUGCGGGCAUUCCGGAGCAGCAAGGUGAUAAAACCUGUGGGUUAUGGAUUAUGCAUUACAUGAAGGACAUAGUGGAGGACAAGAACCAAGAGUGGAGUGCUAAGUGGGACAGAAAAGCAAGCAACAUGUACACACAAAAUGAUAUUGAUGAGGUUCGGGCCGAGUGGGCACAAUAUGUUGCCUAGUUUCAAGAAAGCUAGUGCCUAACUAGGACAUGCAUCACAAUAUAACCCAUAUUAGAAAGCUAUAGGUACUAGUUUUUUGCCUUACAUGCUCGAUACUGUGAUGUUUUUUGGGUUGCCUUUAUCGAUCAUGUCUUUUGUUUCAUGUAUGGGUUGUAUUGAACUGAUGCAUAGCAGGUUGUGUAAUAUACUGAAUGAUUUGCCAGUUUAAUGAAAUGACAUUUUCUGGAUUUCCAAAUUACCA
Rosa rugosa (rugosa rose) is the source of this 1183-nucleotide long non-coding RNA. RefSeq lists it as uncharacterized. The record is from RefSeq and is a predicted model, not a curated record. NCBI's taxonomy places the organism in Eukaryota, Viridiplantae, Streptophyta, Magnoliopsida, Rosales, Rosaceae. The transcript has 6 exons.